UCUGGUUGAUCCUGCCAGUAGUGAUAUGCUUGUUUCAAAGAUUAAGCCAUGCAUGUCUAAGUAUAAGCGAACUUAUACAGUGAAACUGCGGAUGGCUCAUUAAAACAGUUUGAAUUUAUUUGAUGAAUGUAUGAGAAUACUACUUGGAUAACCGUAGUAAUUCUAGAGCUAAUACAUGCAACGACGCCCGACCGUUUCGCUACGGAAGGGCUGUAUUUAUUGGAUACCAAAACCAUCCUUCCCUCGGGAAGUUUUGUUUGAUGAUUCACAAUAACUGAUCGGAUCGCCACUGUGGUGGCGACAGGUCAUUCAACAUUCUGCCCUAUCAGCUUUCGAUGGUUGUGUAGUGGACAACCAUGGCCAUAACGGGUAACGGAGAAUCAGGGUUCGAUUCCGGUGAAGGAGCUUGAGAAUUGGCUACUACAUCUAAGGAAGGCAGCAGGCGCGCAAAUUACCCAAUCCCGAUUCGGGGAGGUAGUGACAAAAAAUAACAAUACCGGGCCUUUUUGGGCUUGGUAAUUGGAAUGAGGGAGAGUUAAACGGACCAUCGAGUAUCCAUUGGAGGGCAAGUCUGGUGCCAGCAGCUGCGGUAAUACCAGCUCCAAUAGCGUAUAUUAAAGUUGUUGCAGUUAAAAAGCUCGUAGUUGGACUUGUGUGCGCUGUCCUCGGGUGGCCUGCGCCCAAAAGGGCGUUUCGGUUCGGCCCCGGUGGCGCCUUGAAAUCUGCAGCUGGGGGGACGUUGGCCUUAACUGGUCGGCGACCGCACGCCGGCUGCUCGGUUACUGUGAGAAAAUUAGAGUGUUCAAGGCAGGCAUUGGGUGCAAUUGAAUACAUUAGCAUGGAAUAAUAAAAUAUGGCUCCUGCCGUAUUUUGUUGGUUUUGACUGGUGGGGGUAAUGAUUGAUAGGGACGGUUGGGGGUGCUAGUAUUGAGCGGCCAGAGGUGAAAUUCAUGGAUUCGCUCAAGACUAACUUAUGCGAAAGCAUUCACCAAGGACGUCCUCUUUAAUCAAGAACGAAAGUUGGGGGAUCGAAGACGAUCAGAUACCGUCGUAGUCUCAACCAUAAACUAUGUCGACUUGGGAUCGGCGGUAGUUUUUUCAUUAAGACACUGUCGGGACCACGGGAGAAAUCAAAGUGUCUGGACUCUGGGGGAAGUAUGGUCGCAAGGCUGAAACUUGAGGGAAUUGACGGAAGGGCACCACCAGGAGUGGAGCCUGCGGCUUAAUUUGACCCAACACGGGGAAACUUACCAGGUCCAGAGAUGUAGAGGAUUGACAGAUUGAAGCUCUUUCUUGAUCACUUCGGUGGUGGUGCAUGGCCGUUCUUAGUUGGUGGAGUGAUUUGUCUGGUUAAUUCCGUUAAC
RNAcentral lists this ribosomal RNA (1364 nucleotides) under metagenome. RNAcentral describes it as "SSU rRNA". It matches the Rfam family "Eukaryotic small subunit ribosomal RNA", at positions 1 to 1332 of the family's 1831-position model. The record is from RNAcentral.